Molecule: ribosomal RNA, 401 nt
Filed under: uncultured bacterium
Lineage: Bacteria
Description: bacterial SSU rRNA
Rfam family: Bacterial small subunit ribosomal RNA
Source: RNAcentral
AUUGAACGCUGGCGGCAUGCCUUACACAUGCAAGUCGAACGGCAGCACGGGAGCUUGCUCCUGGUGGCGAGUGGCGAACGGGUGAGUAAUACAUCGGAACGUACCCUGAAGUGGGGGAUAACGUAGCGAAAGUUACGCUAAUACCGCAUAUUCUGUGAGCAGGAAAGAGGGGGAUCGCAAGACCUCUUGCUUUAGGAGCGGCCGAUGUCGGAUUAGCUAGUUGGUGAGGUAAAGGCUCACCAAGGCGACGAUCCGUAGCGGGUCUGAGAGGAUGAUCCGCCACACUGGGACUGAGACACGGCCCAGACUCCUACGGGAGGCAGCAGUGGGGAAUUUUGGGACAAUGGGCGCAAGCCUGAUCCAGCCAUGCCGCGUGAGUGAAGAAGGCCUUCGGGUUGUAA